This 428-nucleotide long non-coding RNA is filed under the name Chinchilla lanigera (long-tailed chinchilla). RNAcentral describes it as "lncRNA (ENSCLAG00000028391.1)". Lineage: Eukaryota; Metazoa; Chordata; Mammalia; Rodentia; Chinchillidae. The record is from RNAcentral.
ACUCUAAAUACAAAUGGCAUUCGUUGCAGAGGAGAAAGUGACUUUCAAGAGGAAGAAAUAGAGAAAACCAGGAAAAAUUCAGUGCAGUUUUUACUCCCUCAGUUCUCUCAGAUCUCAUUUAAAAUACUCCCACCAGCUGAAUGUGGACAGAACUGUGAAGAGCUUUCUGUAGAAAACUCACGGUUUGCAGAGACAAAGUCAGAGCGCCCUACCCUCAGAAACGGAAGCCAGGAGUGUAAAUGGAAAGUACACGGUACCGCCUGUCUGUGCAGAUCUUCUCUGGAAAGAACUCACCCUUGGCAAGGUGUCAGUUGAUGUACCCAGAAGAAAACAUUCAUUUUUCUCACCCUGCUCUUGGGGAAAGUGAUAUUACCUGCCUUUAGCACAAAUCUACUUUAACUGGAUGAUUUUGAUGAGCUCUGUACUAG